Molecule: regulatory RNA element, 164 nt
Organism: Chroococcidiopsis thermalis PCC 7203
Lineage: Bacteria; Bacillati; Cyanobacteriota; Cyanophyceae; Chroococcidiopsidales; Chroococcidiopsidaceae
Rfam family: Ribosomal protein L10 leader
About the family: This family is a putative r-protein leader autoregulatory structure found in B. subtilis and other low-GC Gram-positive bacteria. It is located in the 5' untranslated regions of mRNAs encoding ribosomal proteins L10 and L12 (rplJ-rplL). A Rho-independent transcription terminator structure that is probably involved in regulation is included at the 3' end.
Source: Rfam
CCAAUCAAAAAUUGAUAGCCGAAGACAGCAGGGGCUAAUUAGCUUAAUAUCCUGCCGAGGUUUGUACAAAAAUGUUUUUGAUGACACUAGUUAUAGUGAAGUCGAAAUAACAUGACGUACACCGUGUCACCUCGGCUCUUGAGUCGAGGUUUUGUUUUGGGUGG